RNAcentral lists this transfer RNA (90 nucleotides) under Planctomycetota bacterium. RNAcentral describes it as "tRNA-Ser". It matches the Rfam family "tRNA". Rfam says of the family: Transfer RNA (tRNA) molecules are approximately 80 nucleotides in length. Their secondary structure includes four short double-helical elements and three loops (D, anti-codon, and T loops). Lineage: Bacteria; Pseudomonadati; Planctomycetota. The record is from RNAcentral.
GGAGAGGUGUCUGAGCGGCUUAAGGAGCGCGCUUGGAAAGCGCGUGUGUGGGCAACUGCACCGAGGGUUCGAAUCCCUCCCUCUCCGCCA